AAAAUUAUGGGAAUAAAGUCUGUUAAUGGGUUGGACAAUUGAAAUUGUGUCAGUUAAGAGUUAUUUAGCCACGAAAAUAAUUUUGCUACCUUUAUAUUUUCCCCUUGAAAAUUUUAAGAAUGAGAUGUUCCUGAGUAAACAAAAAUGACAAUACGGUGCCACAGUAUCCUAGAAAGAGCAUUUUUAUUUUGACUUUCUUUGCAUUUUAUUGAAGGGUGUGUCACUUCAAUAUAGCGUGAUAUGGAUUGGCCUCUGGAAUAUGCAUGAAUUUUUUAUUGACGUUUUCAAUCAUCCUUAAUUUUUGUGUCUGUUCGAAGUAGCACGUUCUCAAUUCCGACUGAAAGUGUCUUUCUAAUACAACACAGGGUACAUAUAACGUGUUCUCGUUCACAUAUGAACAUGAUAUUUGUCACUGGACGUUAAACCCUAAUUCGUCAGCAUCAUCUAAUUGGUUCUUUUCUUCUAUUACUUAAUCAUAUGUUGUUUACAAAUCACUCUAAAGAAGUAAACGGAAAGGAGCGAAUGCAGCUACAUUUGGUUAUUUUAAGUUUCAAUUCAUUUUAUUCCGUUUAGUUCCUUUCUACAUAAGUGCAGAGGAGAACUACAGUUGUCUAUGGUGGCCGGUGAAGUCCAUUUCGCGUUUUCGCGAUUUCGCCUUUCAUAUUCUAUAGGGCGAAAACGCGAAAUCGCGAAAAGGCGAAAUCGCGAAGUCGAAAACGCGAAAACGCGAAAUCGAAAACGAGAAAUCGGUUUCGCGUUUUCGCGUUUUCGACUUCGCAAUUUCGCGUUUUUCGCCAUAUAGAAUAUGUAAGGCGAAAACGCUAAAGCGCUAAAACGCAAAAUGGCAUUAACCUGCCACCAUAGUUGUCCGCAUGUAAACUUCUAGAAUUUGUCACCAAUAUAAGUACAUCGCAAUCCGUUACUGUUUCAACAGCCAUCGGUGUUUCAUGUGUGUAUUCUUAAACAAGUAUUAUUUUUCUCUCGUUUUUAGC
RNAcentral lists this long non-coding RNA (992 nucleotides) under Mytilus galloprovincialis (Mediterranean mussel). Lineage: Eukaryota; Metazoa; Mollusca; Bivalvia; Mytilida; Mytilidae. The record is from RNAcentral.